GUCCCCAGAGCGCUGGGAGGACCAGCAGGUAGAGUGUCAGUGUACUCAGUGCUGGGGAGUGUGCACCCUGGCUGUCAGUGUACUCAGUGCUGGAGAGUGUGCACUCAGGCUGUCAGUUGUACUCAGUGCUGGGGAGUGUGCACCCAGGCUGUCAGUUGUACUCAGUGCUGGAGAGUGUGCACCCUGGCUGUCAGUGUACUCAGUGCUGGGGAGUGUGCACCCAGGCUGUCAGUGUACUCAGUGCUGGAGAGUGUGCACUCAGGCUGUCAGUGUACUCAGUGCUGGAGAGUGUGCACCCUGGCUGUCAGUGUACUCAGUGCUGGAGAGUGUGCACCCUGGCUGUCAGUGUACUCAGUGCUGGAGAGUGUGCACUCAGGCUGUCAGUGUACUCAGUGCUGGAGAGUGUGCACUCAGGCUGUCAGUGUACUCAGUGCUGGAGAGUGUGCACUCUGGCUGUCAGUGUACUCAGUGCUGGAGAGUGUGCACUCUGGCUGUCAGUGUACUCAGUGCUGGGGAGUGUGCACCCUGGCUGUCAGUGUACUCAGUGCUGGAGAGUGUGCACCCUGGCUGUCAGUGUACUCGGUGCUGGAGAGUGUGCACCCUGGCUGUCGGUGUACUCUGUGCUGGAGAGUGUGCACCCUGGCUGUCGGUGUACUCUGUGCUGGAGAGUGU
Molecule: long non-coding RNA, 672 nt
Organism: Pelobates fuscus (common spadefoot toad)
Lineage: Eukaryota; Metazoa; Chordata; Amphibia; Anura; Pelobatidae
Exons: 3
Source: RefSeq, a predicted model, not a curated record